Tigriopus californicus is the source of this 704-nucleotide long non-coding RNA. RefSeq lists it as uncharacterized. The transcript has 2 exons. Lineage: Eukaryota; Metazoa; Arthropoda; Copepoda; Harpacticoida; Harpacticidae. The record is from RefSeq and is a predicted model, not a curated record.
GUCCACCAGACAAGAAUCCAAACAAGCUUCGUCCCAUGUCCGACAUCCAUCCCGAGGAUUUGCUCUUACUGGAGGGUGCAGGUGCUGCCAUGCUCAUUGAGAGUCUCGUGGGAUCUUGGUAGUGGGGCCCAAACACGAUCACUUGAAGCACGAUCUCGAUCACGAUUUGUAUCAACCAAGGUCCAUUUAAAAAUGGCUGGCAUGAAACACAAUUGGGAACUAUCCGAGGAUAAUGAUAAGAAUCAUGACGUGGACGUCGCUUCUUGCGUCGCUUAUGAUUGGCCAUGAUGAUUGCUCAAACUCAGGAUCGAGACUGAGUUUGAUCUCAAGACAAUCGCCGAGGACAAAUUGGAUUGGCACAUUCCACACAUUAUGGAGGGAUUAAAUCCAAAUUCAAAAAAGGUCAACGACGUUAUGAGGGGUCGUGGGAAGCUUCAGGAACUCCACCUUAUGAGUGGAAAGGUGAAUCUUCAGAUCCUAUCUCUAUGUGUUUUAGUGACGUCAGAGCCUGCCAUUCAAGAUUCAGGGUUGGCUCAUACCACAAAAAAGAAGCCAAAGUUCAAAACAAGCUCCGUCCCAUUGGCUUCAAAAAUGCAACAAAUAGAUUUAAACAUACGAAUUUACGUAAUUUUUGGUAGUCAAUAAUUGUCAAAGACCAUAAAAGAUGACUUGCAAAAAUAGAAAAAUAAAACUUUCUCACCUUA